CAUCUACUCCCACCGUCCGAAAAACUUGUCCAAGGAAUGGAUGCAUCUAGAUGUAUUUUAGUUCUAGAUACAUCCAUUUUCAUUCAUUUUUUUAGACAAGUAAUUCCAGACGGAGGGAGUAUAUG
Molecule: non-coding RNA, 125 nt
Organism: Hordeum vulgare subsp. vulgare (domesticated barley)
Lineage: Eukaryota; Viridiplantae; Streptophyta; Magnoliopsida; Poales; Poaceae
Source: Rfam